Molecule: ribosomal RNA, 253 nt
Filed under: uncultured bacterium
Lineage: Bacteria
Description: partial 16S ribosomal RNA
Rfam family: Bacterial small subunit ribosomal RNA
Source: RNAcentral
GACAGAGGGUGCAAACGUUGUUCGGAAUUACUGGGCGCAAAGCGCGUGUAGGCUGCUUCGAAAGUCGGAUGUGAAAGCCCUGGGCUCAACCUAGGAAGUGCAUUCGAAACUUCGAAGCUGGAGUCCUGGAGAGGAAGGCGGAAUUCUCGGUGUAGAGGUGAAAUUCGUAGAUAUCGAGAGGAACACCGGUGGCGAAGGCGGCCUUCUGGACAGUGACUGACGCUGAGACGCGAAAGCGUGGGGAGCAAACAGG